This is a non-coding RNA of Oryza glumipatula, 203 nucleotides long. The record is from Rfam. Lineage: Eukaryota; Viridiplantae; Streptophyta; Magnoliopsida; Poales; Poaceae.
UAUAAGUGAUUUUGAGUUUUUGCUUGCAACGUUUGACCAUUCGUCUUAUUCAAAUUUUUUUUUAAAUUAUUAUUUAUUUUAUUUGUGACUUACUUUAUUAUCUAUAGUACUUUAAGCAUAACUUUUUGUUUUUUAUAUUUACAAAAAAAAUUGAAUAAGACGAAUGGUCAAACGUUGCGAGCAAAAACUCAAAAUCUCUUAUA